GGCUCUGUGGCGAAAUUGGUAGUACGCAUCAGACUUAAAAUCUGAGGGGCAGAAAUGCCCGUGUGGGUUCGACUCCCAUCAGAGCUA
This 87-nucleotide transfer RNA is filed under the name Myoviridae sp. ctNQV2. Its description in RNAcentral is "tRNA-Leu". It matches the Rfam family "tRNA". Rfam says of the family: Transfer RNA (tRNA) molecules are approximately 80 nucleotides in length. Their secondary structure includes four short double-helical elements and three loops (D, anti-codon, and T loops). The record is from RNAcentral. Lineage: Duplodnaviria; Heunggongvirae; Uroviricota; Caudoviricetes.